CAUAGGUUUGGUCCCAGCCUUCCUGUUAACUCUUAAUAAACUUACACAUGCAAGCAUCUACACCCCAGUGAGAAUGCCCUCUAGGUUAUUAAAACUAAGAGGAGCUGGCAUCAAGCACACACCCUGUAGCUCACGACGCCUUGCUUAACCACACCCCCACGGGAAACAGCAGUGACAAAAAUUAAGCCAUAAACGAAAGUUUGACUAAGUUAUAUUAAUUAGGGUUGGUAAAUCUCGUGCCAGCCACCGCGGUCAUACGAUUAACCCAAGCUAACA
RNAcentral lists this ribosomal RNA (276 nucleotides) under Bos taurus (domestic cattle). RNAcentral's name for it is "partial 12S ribosomal RNA". The record is from RNAcentral. Lineage: Eukaryota; Metazoa; Chordata; Mammalia; Artiodactyla; Bovidae.